Molecule: ribosomal RNA, 468 nt
Filed under: uncultured bacterium
Lineage: Bacteria
Description: partial 16S ribosomal RNA
Rfam family: Bacterial small subunit ribosomal RNA
Source: RNAcentral
GACGAACGCUGGCGGCGUGCUUAACACAUGCAAGUCGAACGGAAAGGCCCUGCUUUUGUGGGGUGCUCGAGUGGCGAACGGGUGAGUAACACGUGAGUAACCUGCCCUUGACUUUGGGAUAACUUCAGGAAACUGGGGCUAAUACCGGAUAGGAGCUCCUGCUGCAUGGUGGGGGUUGGAAAGUUUCGGCGGUUGGGGAUGGACUCGCGGCUUAUCAGCUUGUUGGUGGGGUAGUGGCUUACCAAGGCUUUGACGGGUAGCCGGCCUGAGAGGGUGACCGGCCACAUUGGGACUAAGAUACGUCCCAGACUCCUACGGGAGGCAGCAGUGGGGAAUAUUGCACAAUGGGCGGAAGCCUGAUGCAGCAACGCCGCGUGCGGGAUGACGGCCUUCGGGUUGUAAACCGCUUUCGCCUGUGACGAAGCGUGAGUGACGGUAAUGGGUAAAGAAGCACCGGCUAACUACGUG